Long non-coding RNA from Pyrus x bretschneideri (Chinese white pear), 1322 nucleotides. RefSeq lists it as uncharacterized. NCBI's taxonomy places the organism in Eukaryota, Viridiplantae, Streptophyta, Magnoliopsida, Rosales, Rosaceae. The record is from RefSeq and is a predicted model, not a curated record. The transcript is spliced from 3 exons.
UAAUGAGAUAAUAAUUUAUAAGGCAUGUUUGUGCUACACAUUUCUUUGUUGUUUUUAUUUAUUUAUUUUUAUUUUUUCUGUUUUCUUUGUUAAAUAUAAUAUCUUUAUUUUGCAGACUUUGGAAUUUGAUCUUCUUGUUUAUGCAUCAUACCGCUCAAUUGAAGGAUUUGUCAAUGAUAUGGAAGUAAAGUUUCUUAUGGUUUUCUCUAGUGCAACUGUAAUAUAUAUUUUUUUUCAUAAUGCACUUUUAAGUUUUCAAGUUCCUUCCACACGCUUGGUGACAAUUAGUGUUGAUUUCUAGGAAUUCUGCGGAUUAGAGGAUAACCAGCUCCAAUAUCUGGAAGGUAAUUGUUGGCUUUAUUUUAAUUGUAUAUAUGGCUAAAUAGCGUGUUGAGUAACUGUCUAUGCACAGACUGAAUCUUUAGAAGUCUUUCGUUGUUGAGAUGCUGCUAUCAUUUAUGUUUCUUAACCGGCAACGUAUAUGCUGAUGGAUGUUUUGUAGAAAUUGCAGGAGCAGCAAAGACGGAAGUUGAUAAAAUCAUGCUCACAGAUGUACCACUCCUUUUCCCUCCUGGGCAGGUAUGAAUAUGAUUUGUCAGUCAAACUUCUUGCUGUUCAAGCUCAGAAUUUUGUCAUUAAUCGUGAAACAUGCCCCCUUAAUUUGAUGCAGUUGCCAUUGGCUGCUUUGCGUAGUGCAAAUCAGGUUUGCAGAGUUGCCGACUUUGAGAGAUACCUGAGUAGCAUUCUCUCUCGGCAGAGUUCUGCGCAUACUAUCUCAGAGCUAGUCGAAUUCCUUAAUGCAAUCGAUUCUUGGGUAUAAAUUCAUUGCAAUCAGCAUAUAUGUGUGUUGCAAACUCCAUAGCCUCUUUGAUAGCAGCACAAACGUUUGUACAAAUUGUAUAUCAUAUAGCUAUGUUAUUAAGUUCAGAUUUUUAAGAAUUUAAUCUGAUAUUACAUAGGAACGCUUCUUUUUGGUUUCAUUUUCCAAUCUAAGUUUCUUCAUGGCUAAUGUAUGUAGGCAAAAAAAUAACAAGGAUCUCAAGCACAUCAAUCGGAAACUGAAGUCUUGUUGGGGUCUGAGUACGCAUGACGAGAGCAAGAAGCGGGAUAAGAAAUCAAAGCACAAGUCGAAGGGGGGUUCAAAUGAAGCGCAAACUUAAAAGUAUGCCUCUUUUCUUUACUGUUGUUUUAACUUAAGUACUACUGCGGGUUUGGCUACGGUUUGGUGGCUUAGUUUUGUAAUACCAGCAGUUAUUCCAUUUUGCUGCAUCAUGAAAUUUGAUCUUAUCUCGGUUUUCUGGGUAAUUUCAUGUUCUUGUCCG